Molecule: ribosomal RNA, 482 nt
Filed under: uncultured bacterium
Lineage: Bacteria
Description: partial 16S ribosomal RNA
Rfam family: Bacterial small subunit ribosomal RNA
Source: RNAcentral
GACGAACGCUGGCGGCGUGCUUAACACAUGCAAGUCGAACGAUGAAGAAGAGAAACGCGAACUUCGGUUCAAAUUUCACUUCGGAUUAGUGGCAGACGGGUGAGUAACGCGUGAGCAACCUACCUCUUACAAAGGGAUAGCCUCGGGAAACCGUGAUUAAUACCAUAUGACACAUUCAUAAGGCAUCUUAAGAAUGUUAAAGCUACGGCGGUAAGAGAUGGGCUCGCGUCCCAUUAGCUAGCUGGUGAGGUAACGGCCCACCAAGGCGACGAUGGGUAACCGGGCUGAGAGAGUGACCGGUCACAUUGGAACUGAGACACGGUCCAAACUCCUACGGGAGGCAGCAGUGGGGAAUAUUGCACAAUGGAGGGAACUCUGAUGCAGCGACGCCGCGUGAGCGAUGAAGGAAUUCGUUUCGUAAAGCUCUGUUCUAUGGGAAGAAAAGGACUGUACCAUAGGAGAAAGCCCCGGCUAAAUACGUG